This 532-nucleotide ribosomal RNA is filed under the name Trichoderma tomentosum. Its description in RNAcentral is "eukaryotic LSU rRNA". It matches the Rfam family "Eukaryotic large subunit ribosomal RNA", at positions 118 to 673 of the family's 3401-position model. Lineage: Eukaryota; Fungi; Ascomycota; Sordariomycetes; Hypocreales; Hypocreaceae. The record is from RNAcentral.
AAAUCUGGCCCCUAGGGUCCGAGUUGUAAUUUGUAGAGGAUGCUUUUGGUGAGGUGCCGCCCGAGUUCCCUGGAACGGGACGCCACAGAGGGUGAGAGCCCCGUCUGGCUGGCCACCGAGCCUCUGUAAAGCUCCUUCGACGAGUCGAGUAGUUUGGGAAUGCUGCUCAAAAUGGGAGGUAUAUGUCUUCUAAAGCUAAAUAUUGGCCAGAGACCGAUAGCGCACAAGUAGAGUGAUCGAAAGAUGAAAAGCACCUUGAAAAGAGGGUUAAAUAGUACGUGAAAUUGUUGAAAGGGAAGCGCUUGUGACCAGACUUGGGCGCGGCGGAUCAUCCGGGGUUCUCUCCGGUGCACUUCGCCGCGUCUAGGCCAGCAUCAGUUCGUCGCGGGGGAAAAAGGCUUCGGGAACGUGGCUCCUCCGGGAGUGUUAUAGCCCGUUGCAUAAUACCCUGCUUUGGACUGAGGACCGCGCAUCUGCAAGGAUGCUGGCGUAAUGGUCACCAGCGACCCGUCUUGAAACACGGACCAAGGAG